Molecule: ribosomal RNA, 441 nt
Filed under: uncultured bacterium
Lineage: Bacteria
Description: partial 16S ribosomal RNA
Rfam family: Bacterial small subunit ribosomal RNA
Source: RNAcentral
CCUACGGGAGGCUGCAGUGGGGGAUAUUGCACAAUGGGGGGAACCCUGAUGCAGCGACGCCGCGUGGGUGAAGGAGUAUUUCGGUAUGUAAAGCCCUAUCGGCAGGGAAGAAAUUGGACGGUACCUGACUAAGAAGCCCCGGCUAACUACGUGCCAGCAGCCGCGGUAAUACGUAGGGGGCAAGCGUUAUCCGGAUUCACUGGGUGUAAAGGGAGCGUAGACGGCCAUGCAAGCCAGGGGUGAAAGCCCGGGGCCCAACCCCGGGACUGCCCUUGGAACUGCAUGGCUGGAGUGCGGGAGGGGCAGGCGGAAUUCGUGGUGGAGCGGUGAAAUGCGUAGAUAGCAGGAGGAACACCGGCGGCGAAGGCGGCCUGCUGGACCGCGACUGACGUUGAGGCUCGAAAGCGUGGGGAGCGAACAGGAUGAGAUACCCUAGUAGUC